This 275-nucleotide ribosomal RNA is filed under the name uncultured bacterium. RNAcentral's name for it is "partial 16S ribosomal RNA". It matches the Rfam family "Bacterial small subunit ribosomal RNA", at positions 338 to 604 of the family's 1533-position model. The record is from RNAcentral.
CCUACGGGUGGCUGCAGUGGGGAAUCUUGCGCAAUGGAGGAAACUCUGACGCAGCCACGCCGCGUGAGUGAAGAAGGCCUUCGGGUUGUAAAGCUCUGUCGGGAGGGACGAACAUCCCUGACGUUAAUAGCGUCAGGGACUGACGGUACCUCCAAAGGAAGCACCGGCUAACUUCGUGCCAGCAGCCGCGGUAAUACGAGGGGUGCAAGCGUUGCUCGGAAUUAUUGGGCGUAAAGGGUAGGUAGGUGGUCUCAUUUGUCUGGGGUGAAAGCCUU